This 218-nucleotide long non-coding RNA is filed under the name Lathyrus oleraceus (garden pea). RNAcentral's name for it is "Pisum sativum (pea) long non-coding RNA (PSAT_LNC016534)". The record is from RNAcentral. Lineage: Eukaryota; Viridiplantae; Streptophyta; Magnoliopsida; Fabales; Fabaceae.
AUGAUUCUCUUCAAGUCAUAAACCAACAUCUUGAUGAACUCGCUAUCCACAACGAAAACCUUGAAACAACCAUGGAAGCUUACAAUCAUUUCAUCUCUAUGCAACUGGGUCUGCUUGAAAACAACAUUCAAAACCUCUCAAUGCAGUUGGAUAGUAGUAUUAACGAUCACAUGAAAGCUUAUUUGACAACUCUCACCCCUCUCACGAUUCAACAAUUU